GGUUAAGCGACUAAGCGUACACGGUGGAUGCCCUGGCAGUCAGAGGCGAUGAAGGACGUGCUAAUCUGCGAUAAGCGUCGGUAAGGUGAUAUGAACCGUUAUAACCGGCGAUUUCCGAAUGGGGAAACCCAGUGUGAUUCGUCACACUAUCAUUAACUGAAUCCAUAGGUUAAUGAGGCGAACCGGGGGAACUGAAACAUCUAAGUACCCCGAGGAAAAGAAAUCAACCGAGAUUCCCCCAGUAGCGGCGAGCGAACGGGGAGGAGCCCAGAGCCUGAAUCAGUGUGUGUGUUAGUGGAAGCGUCUGGAAAGGCGCGCGAUACAGGGUGACAGCCCCGUACACAAAAAUGCACAUGCUGUGAGCUCGAUGAGUAGGGCGGGACACGUGGUAUCCUGUCUGAAUAUGGGGGGACCAUCCUCCAAGGCUAAAUACUCCUGACUGACCGAUAGUGAACCAGUACCGUGAGGGAAAGGCGAAAAGAACCCCGGCGAGGGGAGUGAAAAAGAACCUGAAACCGUGUACGUACAAGCAGUGGGAGCACGCUUAGGCGUGUGACUGCGUACCUUUUGUAUAAUGGGUCAGCGACUUAUAUUCUGUAGCAAGGUUAACCGAAUAGGGGAGCCGAAGGGAAACCGAGUCUUAACUGGGCGUUAAGUUGCAGGGUAUAGACCCGAAACCCGGUGAUCUAGCCAUGGGCAGGUUGAAGGUUGGGUAACACUAACUGGAGGACCGAACCGACUAAUGUUGAAAAAUUAGCGGAUGACUUGUGGCUGGGGGUGAAAGGCCAAUCAAACCGGGAGAUAGCUGGUUCUCCCCGAAAGCUAUUUAGGUAGCGCCUCGUGAAUUCAUCUCCGGGGGUAGAGCACUGUUUCGGCAAGGGGGUCAUCCCGACUUACCAACCCGAUGCAAACUGCGAAUACCGGAGAAUGUUAUCACGGGAGACACACGGCGGGUGCUAACGUCCGUCGUGAAGAGGGAAACAACCCAGACCGCCAGCUAAGGUCCCAAAGUCAUGGUUAAGUGGGAAACGAUGUGGGAAGGCCCAGACAGCCAGGAUGUUGGCUUAGAAGCAGCCAUCAUUUAAAGAAAGCGUAAUAGCUCACUGGUCGAGUCGGCCUGCGCGGAAGAUGUAACGGGGCUAAACCAUGCACCGAAGCUGCGGCAGCGACGCUUAUGCGUUGUUGGGUAGGGGAGCGUUCUGUAAGCCUGCGAAGGUGUGCUGUGA
Molecule: ribosomal RNA, 1226 nt
Filed under: Escherichia coli
Lineage: Bacteria; Pseudomonadati; Pseudomonadota; Gammaproteobacteria; Enterobacterales; Enterobacteriaceae
Description: partial 23S ribosomal RNA
Rfam family: Bacterial large subunit ribosomal RNA
Source: RNAcentral